GCAACAGAAGAAUGCAAAACAAACACCAAAUGGGAAGAUCGUGGUGGCAUAUCAUGGAUUCCUUUGGGUCUGCCAAGAAGAAUACGCUGAGGUCUUGACGCCUGUACCUUGGGACAUGACCUUGAAAUCAGGUCACUGCCGAUGUCAUCAGUUAUUUAGGGUGACAUGUCCCAUCUUGGACAUGACUGGUGUAUCCAUCAGUGAUUACUAGAGAAACAGCUAAUGUGAGACAUGCAAAUACAUAAGGACUACAGUUGGCCUACAGUGGCCGCCCGCAGUCGGGGCUGAAGAGCGCAGAGGCUCUGCCUGCCCACUGGGGACCCGAAGGAUCCAGCCGAGGCCUGGAGCUUCCUGUGGUGUCCCAAGCGCGUCUGGAUCAGGAGGCCGAAGGCUCUGCGAUGGAGUGGGUGAAGACUGGGCUCCUCUGAAGAAGCUAGAAACAGCCUUGUCGUCCUUCUUCAUUUCCCUUUAUAGCAUGACAAGCUGCCCUAGGGUGAGUCUUCCACACCCAGAACUGUGCUGAGCCAGUACAGCAGGUGUCCUUUAUUCAAGUUGACAUAAUCAACCAUCACAACUGGCACCCUCAGAAGAAGACAGCCACAGUGGCAGACGAGGGGGCCUGGUGGAAAUGGAGGCUGUGACCUGGCCAAGGCUGAGGGCGGGAAGGCUUCCCAGAGCCCAGAGAACCUUGCAGGGGUCCCGAGCUCCUGAUCUGGACCUGGAGCUGGGAGGCGGUCAGUGCUGUUGUGUGGUGACCAGGUCAUGGUACUCGGCUAUGGCAGCCUUAGGGAACGCACUGUGCUCGGUUGUCAUGGGCUGUCCCCACCGAGCACCUCCUGUCUGUGGGAAGUCCGAGGCCCGGGGAUGGCACCGCCAUGCUCCCACGCGCGAGGACGCCACCCCGUUCCAAGACUCCAGUCAGCUGGAUGGCGGGUGCCGCUGAAACCCCACGGCUGCUGUGCCUCUGAACCUUGCAGCAAAUGGCUUGUGGUCCUUAAAUUGCAAACUAGCUGUGAAAGGUGGAAGGCAGCUGAGCCCGGGCCAGUGCUCCUUUCAGCACUGUCCCUCCUGUGACGUCGAUCGGUUCCCUCACAGUCAGCAGGUUGGAUGAUGCUGCGCACGCCCACCGUCCCUUCAGCUCGGUCUCCGGAGUCCGAGUCUCUUCUUCCACCCCAAAGGCAGGCGUGGAUCCAGGCAGCAGGGCGUGUAGAGGUGAAGUGAGUCUGGCCCUCAGAGAGGGAUCCGGGAAGCACAGGGGCCUGUGAAGGGCCCUGGGGAGGUGAGGGAGCAGCUGGAAGAGGCUCAGCCUCAGGCCUGACCCAGGAGCAGCAGGGCAGCCAUCGGCUUGGAGGCCAGCGGGGCCAAGGGCCCAGAGUGAUCUGUCCCGUGCCCUGACGCCCUUGCGGAAGGGCAGGAGCAGCUCUUUUUGAGCUGCAGGCCUGCACACUUUCGCGCUGCCCGGUGCCGACACAGCAAGCAGGUGCUCUGCUCUGCGUGCCUGAGGAGCAGGCUUUCCGGGCGGCCUGGGAAGCCGCUCUCUGAAGGCGGUGGGGUAAAGGGGUGUGAGGCUUGGAAGUGACUGUGGGGUCUGCAUCCUGAGGGCAGGGCCUGGGCCCUCACCCCACGAGAAGGACCAGGGACAUCGUCGGACCCGGGGACCCCCAGCUGAUGUGGAGAAAGCGGCUGAUGUGGAGAAAGCGACAGAGUGGACAGAGUGGGGAGCGGGCUUGGGGUCCCUCCCACACAUCAAAUGCUCCUCUUGUCCUCUGCUCAGGCCCCGGGCUCAGAUGUGCACCCCUCACCUGCUGUGGGGACGGGACCCCAGCACGCUGCCUUGCGGGGUGCUGGUGGGAGGUGAUGGGGAGUCAGGACAGGGGUGUCACCGCACAGCCCUCUGAGGCCCAUGUCGCCUCCCUCAGAACUCACAGGCGGCCGGAGUCUGUCCCUUCCUCCCAGGGGCAGGAGCAGGCUGGGCCGGCAAAGCCCCCUGCAGUCCCAUGGCUCCUGGGUGGUGUCAGGAAAGGGUCUCGUUCUCAGGAUCUGGGGGACAGGCAGAGAGGAAGGAGAGGGAGGGAGGGAGAGGAGGGACAGUCACACGCAAGCGCAAGCGACAGGGGCCUGCUGGGGGAGGCUGAGCGUUCUUGCAGCCCUGAGGCCGAGGCACCUCUCUCUCUUGGCUCUCCCAGUGCUCCGUGUACGGUUGAUUCAGGGCCCAGUCUCAACCCAAAGCAUCCCGAAGGCCCAACACCCAGUAACGUCCCAUUCAGUUUCUCCGCAUGUUUCCUCCCCACUGGGGCGGCACUGCGGACCCCUCCAGGCCCCAUGGCCAGGUUGGCUCCAUCCCUGGGCUG
RNAcentral lists this long non-coding RNA (2351 nucleotides) under Heterocephalus glaber (naked mole-rat). Its description in RNAcentral is "lncRNA (ENSHGLG00100037578.1)". The record is from RNAcentral. Lineage: Eukaryota; Metazoa; Chordata; Mammalia; Rodentia; Bathyergidae.